UCCGGUUUGGCACCGGCAGUCCCCCGAGAGUCCUCAGCAGUUUGCACCCUGUUAGCAACACGGGGCGGGGGUUGCGCUCGUUGCGGGACUUAACCCAACAUCUCACGACACGAGCUGACGACAGCCAUGCAGCACCUGUGCUGAUGCUCCGAAGAGGGCCCCCUGUUUCCAGGGAGUUUCACCAGCAUGUCAAGCCUAGGUAAGGUUCUGCGCGUUGCGUCGAAUUAAACCACAUGCUCCACCGCUUGUGCGGGCCCCCGUCAAUUCCUUUGAGUUUCAGCCUUGCGGCCGUACUCCCCAGGCGGGGCACUUCAUGCGUUAGCGCCGGUACCCCGGGGGUCGCUCCCCAGAGCACCUAGUGCCCAUCGUUUACGGCGUGGACUAC
RNAcentral lists this unclassified non-coding RNA (385 nucleotides) under uncultured Gemmatimonadaceae bacterium. Its description in RNAcentral is "contains 16S-23S intergenic spacer region". The record is from RNAcentral. Lineage: Bacteria; Pseudomonadati; Gemmatimonadota; Gemmatimonadia; Gemmatimonadales; Gemmatimonadaceae.